RNAcentral lists this ribosomal RNA (395 nucleotides) under uncultured bacterium. Its description in RNAcentral is "bacterial SSU rRNA". It matches the Rfam family "Bacterial small subunit ribosomal RNA", at positions 30 to 422 of the family's 1533-position model. The record is from RNAcentral.
AUUGAACGCUGGCGGCAUGCUUUACACAUGCAAGUCGAACGGUAACAGGGAGCUUGCUCCGCUGACGAGUGGCGAACGGGUGAGUAAUGCAUCGGAACGUGCCUAUUUGUGGGGGAUAACGUAGCGAAAGUUACGCUAAUACCGCAUACGCCCUGAGGGGGAAAGCGGGGGAUUCGUAAGAACCUCGCGCAAUUAGAGCGGCCGAUGUCGGAUUAGCUAGUUGGUGGGGUAAAGGCUCACCAAGGCGACGAUCCGUAGCGGGUCUGAGAGGAUGAUCCGCCACACUGGGACUGAGACACGGCCCAGACUCCUACGGGAGGCAGCAGUGGGGGAAUUUUGGACAAUGGGCGAAAGCCUGAUCCAGCCAUGCCGCGUGAGUGAAGAAGGCCUUCGGG